This 63-nucleotide transfer RNA is filed under the name Tyrophagus putrescentiae. RNAcentral's name for it is "tRNA-Lys". Lineage: Eukaryota; Metazoa; Arthropoda; Arachnida; Sarcoptiformes; Acaridae. The record is from RNAcentral.
AUAGCCUUAAGAUAUACACAAUCUUUAUGUCUUUUAAACAUACAAUGCUUUUGGCAGGUUAUA